UGGGGAAUUUUGGACAAUGGGGGCAACCCUGAUCCAGCAAUGCCGCGUGAGUGAAGAAGGCCUUCGGGUUGUAAAGCUCCUUUGUCAGGGAAGAAACGGUAGUAGCGAAUAACUAUUACUAAUGACGGUACCUGAAGAAUAACCACCGGCUAACUACGUGCCAGCAGCCGCGGUAAUACGUAGGGUGCAAGCGUUAAUCGGAAUUACUGGGCGUAAAGCGUGCGCAGGCGGUUGUGUAAGUCAGAUGUGAAAUCCCCGGGCUCAACCUGGGAAUUGCAUUUGAGACUGCACGGCUAGGGUGUGUCAGAGGGGGGUAGAAUUCCACGUGUAGCAGUGAAAUGCGUAGAUAUGUGGAGGAAUACCGAUGGCGAAGGCAGCCCCCUGGGAUAACACUGACGCUCAUGCACGAAAGCGUGGGGAGCAAACAGGAUUAGAUACCCUUGUAUCCCUGAGCGGGCUGGCAAGGCGCAU
RNAcentral lists this ribosomal RNA (471 nucleotides) under uncultured bacterium. Its description in RNAcentral is "bacterial SSU rRNA". It matches the Rfam family "Bacterial small subunit ribosomal RNA", at positions 355 to 825 of the family's 1533-position model. The record is from RNAcentral.